This 406-nucleotide ribosomal RNA is filed under the name uncultured bacterium. RNAcentral's name for it is "partial 16S ribosomal RNA". It matches the Rfam family "Bacterial small subunit ribosomal RNA", at positions 30 to 526 of the family's 1533-position model. The record is from RNAcentral.
AUUGAACGCUGGCGGCAGGCCUAACACAUGCAAGUCGAACGAGUGGCGGACGGGUGAGUAAUGUCCGGGAAACUGCCCGAUGGAGGGGGAUAACUACUGGAAACGGUAGCUAAUACCGCAUACCAUCGGAUGUGCCCAGAUGGGGUUAGCUAGUAGGUGGGGUGACGGCUCACCUAGGCGACGAGCCCUUGCUGGUCUGAGAGGAUGAGCAGGCACACUGGAACUGAGACACGGGCCAGACGCCUACGGGAGGCAGCAGUGGGGAAUAUUGCACAAUUGGCGCAAGCCUGAUGCAGCGAUGCCGCGUGUAUGAAGAAGGCCUUCGGGUUGUAAAGUACUUUCAGCGAGGAGGCGUUACUCGCAGAAGAAGCACCGGCUAACUCCGUGCCAGCAGCCGCGGUAAUUC